UGUAAGAGGCCACAGCAUGGACUGGUU
RNAcentral lists this non-coding RNA (27 nucleotides) under Homo sapiens (human). Lineage: Eukaryota; Metazoa; Chordata; Mammalia; Primates; Hominidae. The record is from RNAcentral.